GCAAGUCGAGCGCGCCCUUCGGGGUGAGCGGCGGACGGGUUAGUAACGCGUGGGAACGUACCCAGAUCUACGGAAUAGCCUCGGGAAACUGAGAGUAAUACCGUAUACGCCCUUCGGGGGAAAGAUUUAUCGGAUUUGGAUCGGCCCGCGUAAGAUUAGAUAGUUGGUGGGGUAAUGGCCUACCAAGUCUACGAUCUUUAGCUGGUUUGAGAGGAUGAUC
RNAcentral lists this ribosomal RNA (220 nucleotides) under uncultured bacterium. RNAcentral's name for it is "partial 16S ribosomal RNA". It matches the Rfam family "Bacterial small subunit ribosomal RNA", at positions 57 to 305 of the family's 1533-position model. The record is from RNAcentral.